Clupea harengus (Atlantic herring) is the source of this 323-nucleotide long non-coding RNA. The record is from Ensembl. Lineage: Eukaryota; Metazoa; Chordata; Actinopteri; Clupeiformes; Clupeidae.
GGUGGAGAGAGAAAAAGAAAGAAAGGGGGUGGUAAAUGUCAGUUCCAAAGAGAAACAACAGGGGCUAGAGUUUGAUGGCACAGUAGGACCUAGGUCAUACCGGUGCUUGUUGCUUAAGACUUGUCUAAGUAAAACCAUAGCUGAGUUAAAGCCACCAGUUCAACAACUACUGAAGUGUCCCAUCAAGUGGCCUCAACGUAAAAAUACUCAAUAAGACGUGUGUGUGAAUAUGCCCCUCAAUAAGCUGUUAGACGUGUGUGAAUAUGCCCCUCAAUAAGCUGUUAGAUGUGUGUCUCUAGGCCACAUCAAGCGGUGCCUUAAAG